Molecule: long non-coding RNA, 2074 nt
Filed under: Olea europaea subsp. europaea
Lineage: Eukaryota; Viridiplantae; Streptophyta; Magnoliopsida; Lamiales; Oleaceae
Source: RNAcentral
UCCUAAUAAAAAACAAAAGCCUCUCUCAUUUAGGGUAAGAAACUAGACGAAGCCGACUACGCAUCUCUCUCUCUUCCCAUUUCAUCUAAUCUCAUGUUUCUUCUUCUCCUCCUCUUUUUUUAAGCCCCGAUUUAGUUUCUUACCAUGCUCUCGGUAAUGGCCAGGUGCGGAGCCAGAACCAAAUGGAAUUCCCAAAUUGAAAUCGUCGGGAGACAGAGUGAGUAGAGGCGAGAGCAGAAGUGCAGAAGCAGCAAAACCUAUGACAAGUAGUGAUGGUCGAUGAGCUACGAGUGUCAACUAUCGAGUCGUGGGUGCCAGUUCUUCGGGGUGAUGGAGACGGACUGACAGUGUCACGGACCUCAUGGUGAGUCGUCGAGUCGGUAAGUGCCUUUUAAUUUUCGACCCUGUUCAGUUUUUCUGUUCGGCGUUAGCCCUGUUUUUGUUUCUUUUUUUUUAAUUAUUGUUUUUGUUCUGUGUUGAGUGUUGAUGGAAGGAAUGGAUUAUGGUGGAUAUACACUAAUUAUUCCAAAAAAGGAUUGCGGUAAAAGAAACUUUAUUUUUAUAAUAAUUAAUUCAUGUAAAGCUGGCGAAAUGAAUUGCGUUUGGAUUCUGAACAUAUGAAUAGAUUUAUCCCAAUUUUACAUGAAUUAUAUAGAUAUUUCAUGAAUUAACUCACUUGAUACACAUUUUAUAGAAUGUGUUAACAAUAAAAAUAAAAGAUAAAAAAAAAAUCUAUUUGAUGUGGAGUUGGAGUUGGAGUUGGAUAUAUAAAUAUACUUGUCGAGUUUCAUAAUUUUGUAGAGUCAAUCAAUAUGACCGAUAUUGUAUUGUGCGAUUUUGCCUAACCCUUUUAAUGAUAGGGCUCCUAGGCAUCUUAUUGAAUAGUUCUAUUCAAAAUGUUCUGAUUGCAAUGACUAGUGAUUGAAAGAUGGAAGUGAGCUUGAUGAGCAGUGCAUUUAGGAUGUACUAAGUGAGCUCACCUAAUUAAGUUUCCAUCGCCUACAAGUUCCUUCAUAGACUUGUAAAAGAAUGAAUAAUGAUCAAUACCAGCCAUCUGGCUAUGCUUCUGAACAUAGUGGACUUUAUCCAUUCUUAUUCUCUGCAAAAUAAAAUUGUAUUUAAUAGGAAAGAAACAUGGGGUUUCGUGAGAUGGAGCCUGUUAAGUGAGGGAGCUGUUUAAAUUAGUGGGGGCAUAAUAUUAGGGAUUUCUGAAACUGUCUAUGGGUUAAAUUGUCUAUCUAGAUUUAUUGAUAAGGCCCUUAAAGAGGAGAAGUAGUUGCAAUAGGGAACCUCUCCUAGUUGUUGUCAAUAUGAUUUCGUGCAUUUCCUACGUACAUGAAUUAAAAUGAUGGCAACGACUUUUGUCAAUAGUGUACUCUAUCUACACAGACAAAGUAUCUCCAAUAAUUGGACUCUAAAGAAUGCACUCUUGAGAUGUGAUAUAUGAUAAUGUUUGAUAUGAGCUAUAUGGAUAAUUGAAAGUGGGCAGUUUAGUCCCUAUCUUUCCUACUUGAUUAUAGCAUAUAUUUAUUGACACCACACACAUAAUCUCUUGGUAAAAUUUACCGAAGUUCCAUCUAGGUCAGAAGGCAUUUAACAUAAGUUCUAGAGAUGACAAGAGAUUUUUUUGUCUGUUCAUGCUCUUAUGGUAGCCUGGACUAUAGUGCAAUCUUCUGGUUGUUGAUUACGGUGUUAUGAUAUAAAUGAACUUCUCCUAAACAUUUCAGGUGAUACCUCUUUCACUAUGGAUUGAAGAAAUACAGACUCCAAAUGCUGUUUUGUCGAAGCACCAAGUAUCUUCAAGGUGGGAGGCUCUUUCCUAUAAGAAAUAUGCAGGCUACGAAGAAAGUACUGGGAAUGAUUUUUGAGAUUUAGCCAACCCAAUAGUUUGAAGACAACAAGUUGUAAAUUAUCUUCUUUUAUACAAUAAUUUUUUAUUGUUUAAGAGGAGUGUAAAAUGAUGUUGAUUUAAUGGGCAAUAUGUAAAUGAAAAUUUUUCUUCGAUUUAUUACAAUAAUGUGUUUUGUCUAUUUGGUAUGGAUUAAUAAAAUUAUAUUAAUGUCAUGUUGGCCCA